RNAcentral lists this long non-coding RNA (957 nucleotides) under Phoenix dactylifera (date palm). Its description in RNAcentral is "long non-coding RNA (PDAC_LNC014767)". The record is from RNAcentral. Lineage: Eukaryota; Viridiplantae; Streptophyta; Magnoliopsida; Arecales; Arecaceae.
AACUGUGCCAGCACAGUUGUAAUAUGGUUAUGAGGCUAUAAACAGAAACAUAAGCAGGACAUGCUUAAAUAUCUAUCACACUUUCAGAAAAUCAGUGUGCCAAUUGAAUUUGUGUUCCUCCAAUUUGGUAAUUCUGUUUGGAAAUUUGUUUAAAAUCGAAGGCUGUACUCCAAAUGGUUGAUAAUUGAAAGUAGGUACAUAACUUUUCAUUAUCAACAGGCACCAAACUGACGAUAAAGAGUACCGACAAAUCUAACAACUAAAGUGUAUCGGAGUUUGAGAAAAUUUAGCGUGCCAUUUUGCUCCAUCUCCACAUUUCAAUUAGGAAACAUAAACGUAAGCUUAAAUCUUGUGCCAAAAUAGUUCAAGUGCUUAAAAGCGUAACAGAGUUUCAGAAAAAUGAGCGUGCCAUUUUGGAAAUUUAGUUAGGUCCCAUUAUCAUUUUGGAUAUCAAUAAUUAUAGUUCCAGAAUUUCAGAAAUUGCAGCAUGCCAUUUUCCUUAAAAGCGUAUUAGAGUUUCAAAAUCCUCUGUGUGCCAUUUUUGGGAAUUAUUCCAUGGAAGCAAUAAUAAAUGCUUAAAUCGUGUAUUACAGUUUCAGAUACUAUUAUUCCUAUGCUUAAAAGUGUAUCGGAGUUUCAUAAAAUUCAGCGUGCCAUCUUAUGCAACAUUUUCUGAAUAUCACUUAACUGGGUGCACAGUUUAAUUAACUAUGUUCGCAGUUAAUUUAUCUGUGUUCGGAAACAAAGAAACUGUGUGCAGAGUAGAACUUAUUGUGUGCAUAAUUGAAGUAACUGUGUUUCGGGGUAGAAUAACAUUCUUCAAACUUUGCCAAACCUUCUAUUCAUCAAAAUUAGGUGUUCACUAUUUCAUUAAGAGAUGUAGCAAUGUAGAUUUAGUGUUUACUCCGUUUUAGUACCCCAUCUCAAACCACUUUCAACAAUUUCAGAAUAAUACUU